RNAcentral lists this ribosomal RNA (494 nucleotides) under uncultured bacterium. Its description in RNAcentral is "partial 16S ribosomal RNA". It matches the Rfam family "Bacterial small subunit ribosomal RNA", at positions 899 to 1397 of the family's 1533-position model. The record is from RNAcentral.
ACUCAAAGGAAUAGACGGGGACCCGCACAAGCGGUGGAUGAUGUGGAUUAAUUCGAUGCAACGCGAAAAACCUUACCUACCCUUGACAUGGUCGGAAUUUCACAGAGAUGUGGAAGUGCUCGAAAGAGAACCGGCGCACAGGUGCUGCAUGGCUGUCGUCAGCUCGUGUCGUGAGAUGUUGGGUUAAGUCCCGCAACGAGCGCAACCCUUAUCAUUAGUUGCUACGCAAGGGCACUCUAAUGAGACUGCCGGUGACAAACCGGAGGAAGGUGGGGAUGACGUCAAGUCCUCAUGGCCCUUAUGGGUAGGGCUUCACACGUCAUACAAUGGUACGUACAGAGGGUAGCCAACUCGCGAGGGGGAGCCAAUCUCAGAAAGCGUAUCGUAGUCCGGAUUGUAGUCUGCAACUCGACUACAUGAAGUUGGAAUCGCUAGUAAUCGCGGAUCAGCAUGUCGCGGUGAAUACGUUCCCGGGUCUUGCACACACCGCCCGU